GACGAACGCUGGCGGCGUGCCUAAUACAUGCAAGUUGAGCGCUGAAGGAUGGUACUUGUACCAACUGGAUGAGCAGCGAACGGGUGAGUAACGAGUGGGGAAUCUGCUUUUGAGCGGGGGACAACAUCUGGAAACGAAUGCUAAUACCGCAUAAAACCUUUAAACACAAGUAUUAAGUUUGAAACAUGCAUUUGCAUCACUCAAAGAUGAUUCCGCGUUGUAUUAGCUAGUUGGUGAGGUAAAGGCUCACCAAGGCGAAGGUACAUAGCCGGCCUGAGUGGGUGAACGGCCAACAUUGGACUGGAGCACCGGCCAAGCUCCUACGGGGGGCAGCAAUAGGGGAUCUUUGGCAAUUGACGGAAGUCUUACCGAACAACGCCCGGUGGGUGGAAGAAGUUUUCCGGUCGUAAAACUCUGUUGGUAGGGAAAGACAUUGGGGAGGGUAAAAAGCUCAUCAAGUGACGGUAACUACCCAGAAAGGGACGGCUAACUACGUG
Molecule: ribosomal RNA, 497 nt
Filed under: uncultured bacterium
Lineage: Bacteria
Description: partial 16S ribosomal RNA
Rfam family: Bacterial small subunit ribosomal RNA
Source: RNAcentral